GACAGAGGGUGCAAACGUUGUUCGGAAUUACUGGGCGUAAAGCGUGCGCAGGCGGUUUUGUAAGGCAGAUGUGAAAUCCCCGGGCUUAACCUGGGAACUGCGUUUGAAACUACAAGGCUAGAGUGUGGCAGAGGGGGGUGGAAUUCCACGUGUAGCAGUGAAAUGCGUAGAGAUGUGGAGGAACACCGAUGGCGAAGGCAGCCCCCUGGGUUAACACUGACGCUCAGGCACGAAAGCGUGGGAGCAAACAGG
Molecule: ribosomal RNA, 252 nt
Filed under: uncultured bacterium
Lineage: Bacteria
Description: partial 16S ribosomal RNA
Rfam family: Bacterial small subunit ribosomal RNA
Source: RNAcentral